Molecule: long non-coding RNA, 1077 nt
Filed under: Felis catus (domestic cat)
Lineage: Eukaryota; Metazoa; Chordata; Mammalia; Carnivora; Felidae
Description: lncRNA (ENSFCAG00000048785.1)
Source: RNAcentral
UUUCUGCCUGGCGCAAUUCGAUACGCUGGCUAUUAAGCCACCGAAAGACGGCUGAGGUCUAGAGGGAGAACUCGACGCCAAUGUCCUAUUCGACAGAGACCGCAGCAACCUGUAUGCCUCGUGGACGGCAGAGGGAAGCUUCGGAAAAUUCAUUCCACGUGUGACGGGAGACCCCCAACUGUGGGAAUGGACGCGAGAACUGGAAGAUGCACUCCCCAAAGACCUGGGCGCCUGCUGCUGUCUCCCUCUGACGUCUGCGGCACGAGGCUUUGUCACGUGCGGCCACGGCCUGGCUGACACGGAGCGCCAGUGCCCAGACGCUGCGAAGGUACUUGUCGUCUCCCUGUGGCUCCAGUGUGACCGUCUGUCCUGUCUUUUCAUUUCCUGCAUCAGCAACCCCCCCGCCCCCCACCGCCCCCGGCGGGUCUGGGCUGCCUCUCCCCGCGUCCUCACAAGCACCAGGGGAGGCAAUGGUUAGUGCAGCUGACGGGUGACCAGCUCCAGUGGGGCGCAGACCUGACCUUCCUGGCCCCCUGGUCGUGGGGCAGGACCCGACAGCUAGUUCUGGCCCGUGAGCGGGAGUGAGUACGUCGUUCCUGGGUUGGGGCGUUGAAUAGCCUGUGUGUGACUUUCUAGAAUCCCCCGCUGAAGUAAUUAUGGAAGCAGAAGUGAAUUUGGAGCCCCCCCAUAGGCUCAGACCCCCGAGUGGCUGGAGGGACCAGAAUGUCCCUGCCCACCUGCAAAGUCAUGGAGCAGGAGGGAGAAAUAAGUCCGUUUUGAGCCAGAGGUUGGUAAGCCACGGCCUGCAGUCCAAAUCUGGCUCGCUACCCGUUCUUUAAAUGAGGUUUGCCUUGGGGUGCCUGGGUGGCGCAGUCGGUUAAGCGGCCGACUUCAGCCAGGUCACGAUCUCGCGGUCCGUGAGUUCGGGCCCCGCGUCGGGCUCUGGGCUGAUGGCUCGGAGCCUGGAGCCUGUUUCCGAUUCUGUGUCUCCCUCUCUCUCUGCCCCUCCCCCGUUCAUGCUCUGUCUCUCUCUGUCCCAAAAAUAAAUAAACGUUGAAAAAAAAAAUAAUAACUGAG